This is a long non-coding RNA of Osmerus eperlanus (European smelt), 490 nucleotides long. RefSeq lists it as uncharacterized. The record is from RefSeq and is a predicted model, not a curated record. Lineage: Eukaryota; Metazoa; Chordata; Actinopteri; Osmeriformes; Osmeridae. The transcript is spliced from 3 exons.
CACCAAACCCAAACUCUACGCAUGCACCUACGCGCACUACGCUGGUCGAAAUAGUGGCGCCGCCGUUGAUUACGGGAAGGUGUUUACGUAGGUGGUCCGUUCAAUGCAGUAGGCUGAGAGAAAGUGAAAAUGGAACUCGUGAGCAGAAAAGGGAGUUAUAUUAACUAACUAAAGUUCGGGAGGAAGUUAGCGCACCAAGAUUCCUCCUCUACUCCAUUCAAGCAACUCGCAAAAGCACGGAAGAAUGCGCACCAACUCCAAUCAACUUCAUACGCAUCAACUCCCCGUAUCAAUUACGAGGCUCCCCGGGGGAUCCGAUCGAGCCGCUGCUCGGCCGUGACCCAUAAGGACUCUCCGCCAUACCCCGAGUCCAUACCCGGAACCCAGGCCCGGCUCUGCUACCGCCCUCCAUCAGCACCAGGCUCGGCUCUGCUACCAGCCUGCGACACCCUGCAUUAGGCUUGGCUCUGCUACCAGCCUCAGGCUUGGC